Mauremys reevesii (Reeves's turtle) is the source of this 182-nucleotide long non-coding RNA. RefSeq lists it as uncharacterized. The transcript has 3 exons. The record is from RefSeq and is a predicted model, not a curated record. Lineage: Eukaryota; Metazoa; Chordata; Testudines; Geoemydidae.
AUUUACUCCAGGCUCUCCUCCACACUGCCAGAGGGGGAAGUUCUGAGCCCAGCAAGAUGGAGGAGAUGAUUGGGCCUUUGCUGUCUUGGUCCUAGGAUGAGAGCUCAUUCCCUCCUGAAAUCUAUAGUCCAUCUCGCUCUGGACUGAAAUAGCCUCCCAACCCUCCCAAGGUUGUAUCCUGG